This 441-nucleotide RNase P RNA is filed under the name Saprospiraceae bacterium. RNAcentral describes it as "RNase P RNA component class A". It matches the Rfam family "Bacterial RNase P class A". From Rfam's summary of the family: Ribonuclease P (RNase P) is a ubiquitous endoribonuclease, found in archaea, bacteria and eukarya as well as chloroplasts and mitochondria. Lineage: Bacteria; Pseudomonadati; Bacteroidota; Saprospiria; Saprospirales; Saprospiraceae. The record is from RNAcentral.
GCCGCCAAACGCUCUAUCGCGGCUGCGCAUGGCGCGGCUGAGGAAAGUCCGGACAACGCAGAGCGCCGCACCACCUAACGGGUGGGAUUCGCAGUGGGCAACCACGCGAAGCCGGAAAGUGCCACAGAAAAGAUACCGCCUCGCCUCGGCGGGGUAAGGGUGAAAUCGCGGUGUAAGAGACCACGCCGCCCGGCAGCAAUGCGGGCGAGGGUAAACCCUGCGGGUUGAAAUGCCAUGUAAACCUCAAUUUUGCCAGAGGCGCUUCGGCGAACCCUGAGCGAAGACGGGUUGCUCGCCCGUUCACCGCGCUUUGGCGCGGAGGUUGAGGAGGGUAGGCAGAGCAGACUCCUGCCGCGAGGCUGGAGCCAGAUAAAUGAUAGAGGCUGUGCGCGUUGUGAGGCGCGGGCAGUACAAAAUCCGGCUUACAGCUUGGCGGCGCUU